GUCAGUUUGACACUCAACCUGAUAGUCAGAAGCCUGUAUGUUCAUGAAGAAUGUAAGUGGAAUUGCAUUAUCAUUUGAUGGAUAAUUUGCAUAUAUUUAUGUUAUUUGGCCUAAAUUAUAAUUUCUCUCUUUCACCAUGGCUUAUGUGUGUUAUACAUGUUAUGUAUCAAAUAUUGGUAAUUAUAAAUCAGUUUACAAAUUCCUGACAUCUCUUCCUGUUAUUAUUCUGUUUCAGCAACCAUACAUACCUACCUGUACUCUGUGCUUAUCAGGACCUUGAAUAAACGUCGUCAAAUGCAUACCUGCCUGCCGUGUCCUUACCGACACCUCACAGUACAUAGUCAAAUCCUUAAUCCUGAUCCAGCCAUCUACCUCAUCCUAUUGACAGUCCUUCACAAAAGUGACAGCCUAACACAAACCUUCAUUUACGGCUGCCAUCGAACAAAUAUCAAAGUAAUUAAAAACAAUUACCAGUAAUUGAGCUUACUUAAAAUCUUUUGAAACCAAAAAACUUUUAAUUCUUUCAAAUAGUGGGAAAAAAAAUUACUCAUUCGACCUUUUCUCUGAACCAUGUCUGUAACUGGAUAUAAGAAUUAGAAACAGUCCUCCUCCUGCUCCUCACUCUGCUCUCCAAUCUCCACCUGUGGCUGCCUGAUAGUUUUUAUCACUGUUGCACAAGAUGGUCAAGAUAAAGCGUGCCACCAUUAAUCUUUGCAAGAGCUGCUCCCAAACUUUAUUUCACGUUGAUCCGAGCUGUUUAGGAAGUGAAGUGAAAGUGAGAGGGUGUGCCUCAAUCAAUGUAUAGUACGUAAAUGGGGCAAACAUGGCCAACAGCACAAUACUAUUUAGUCUUUGCUCAAUCAUUGACCCUCAUUUUUUAAUCUUGCAUAGAACUGAGUGCAGAUCUGAGUGCAGGAUUCGUCGUAUGAUAGGACACACGCCCUUGUCAAACGCAGCGCUCCACAGUGGCACGUGUGCGUGUGUGCACAAUGUUAAAACGGCCCUCCUGCUCUGUGGCAGUGUUUCUGGGCAGAGUUAUCAAAUAGGCUUAUCCACUAAGGACAUAACAAAUUUAUUCUAUUUUAUUUACAUCUUAAUCUUUAAUGAAAUCUGUCUGAUUGUGCUUAAUGACAGGUUUGAGGUUUGUUUAUCAAUUAUUUUGAGACAGACAUUUGCUGCACCGCAAAUCUGCACUUACUGAAACUUGCGUACACAAUGUGAGACCUGUCGUGAGAUUUGAUCGUAUCGUACGCUCACGUUCCAAUUAAUAAAUGCCAAUCCUUGUGUGGUAAUGGUCGUACGGACAGUUUUCAGCCGUACGCUUAUUUCAUAAAUGAGGGCCAUUAUAUCUCUAUGAUCUGAUUAAUUGGCCGGCUCUACCCACAAUUCAUUAGGCUGAUCUAUGAAAGGCCAAAGCACAACACUACAAGACUAUAGAGGGGACCCCUGAUGUAUUUGACCUUUGUAGGUUACUCAAAGGUUUCAACGUUGGACGUCAGCUUCAGUUUAUUACGUCAAAGUAAAGUGAUUAGCUGUUAUCAAAGUUAAAGUCUUAGUAGAUAGACUGAUUUUAAGCAGUUCAAUUUUAAGGGCUAAACAAGGCAGAAAUAUUGACUAGCCAACCAAAUUUAGAAAUUUCUUGACAUGGUUGUAAGAUAGAAACAACUUGCAUAACAACUCAGGAUUUUGGUUCCAAAAGUCCCGUUGCAGCAGAACAUAAUACAGAACAUGGUACUGAAAAUAGCACACUGUCCAGCCUGAGUUGGUACCUCUCAUUGAGGACAAGGACAAUGUCUGGUUAAAUCCAGUCAGAAAGGUGUUUGUUCCUCACACUGAAGCACCUCUUGAAUUAAGCCCUUGAUUAGCAUUUGCAUUAAUACAUUAGGAUUCAUCCAUUCCCACCACAUAUAGGGUACACGUGUUACUGCAAUACUUGUGAGGCCGACCUUAUAUGACACUGUUGACAAGUACAGCUCUAGAAUUGGUAAUCCUACUUCUGUGCUGCAUCCAUGAAAUCUUAAUGAAAAGCAAAAGUGCCUUUUCUGUGUUUGAUGUGUUUCAGGUCAUCAAGAUUUCCUGAAGAGGGUGGCAAAGGCCAGUGUAGCCCGUGGCAAGUACACGCUGGUGAGAUUGCCACUUGAGGGUAAAACCCUGCGAGCCUCGUCCUCUAUCGAUCCUGUAAUAAGGGGCUAUUUGGAUGCAGAGAAUCAACUGAAGUAUCUUGUAGGAUUCAUGAAACACCUGGUACCUCGGGAGAGUGACAUGACGCAGGAAAUCAUAAGAUUCAAUGUUGACUCAACACUAUCCCUCUACCAGGAGGGAGAAAAGAUGAACACUCAGUGGGCUCUUGUAUUGAGCAGCAGGAAAUGUGAAGUCAGAUUAUCAGCAGGAGGUUGGCUAGGG
Xyrichtys novacula (pearly razorfish) is the source of this 2403-nucleotide non-coding RNA. The record is from the annotation of a GenBank genome assembly. NCBI's taxonomy places the organism in Eukaryota, Metazoa, Chordata, Actinopteri, Labriformes, Labridae.